UGGGGUGGUGGCUCAGCCGCAGAGUACCUGCUUAGCAUGCGCCAGGACCUGGGUUCAAGCCCCAGCACCACAA
RNAcentral lists this transfer RNA (73 nucleotides) under Marmota monax (woodchuck). RNAcentral's name for it is "tRNA.Ala". Lineage: Eukaryota; Metazoa; Chordata; Mammalia; Rodentia; Sciuridae. The record is from RNAcentral.